GUUUAGUUGCUUAGGAUCAGGAUGGAAUAAGGAUGGCAGAAUAUCAUGGUGAACAGAUGGGGGUCAACGUUCAGAGGGUAAUCUGGCCAGAAGAAGGAAGUUAAAGGUACAGACCAGCGUCUCAACACGGUUGCUUGAGAUUCCUGAUAGCAUGGUGGCUAGAUCCCAAAAAGGAGUGCUCCAAGAAGUAAAGUUCCCCAGUAACCAGCAAGAAGCAGAACUUCCAUUCUUAUGCUGUAACAACAAAGUGGCACUUCAACCAUCUGUCUCCUUCCCCUCUGUGUCAGUGGGGCCCAACAGGGAUCUGAGCUUACACUUCAACUUAAAAGCAAUACAUUCUAUGAAUGUAAGAAGCAUGGUAAACAAAUGGCAUCAGACAAUACUUACUGGUGAUUGAAGAAACUGCCCAUGGGAUCAUAACAGAAGCCCCGGUGAUAGUCUUCUCAGAUUGAACCACAGCACUAAUGGAGAUUACCAAAAUUUAUAGGAUAAGAUUACUGAAAUUUCUAUGUUGUUUUAUCCCAUUGAAAUCAAUGGAAAGCAAAGGACAGGAAAGAGCCAAACAGACAAUUUUCCCCUCUCAUCUCUAUGAUAUGGUCCCUCCUUACAGUUCUUCUGGAAAAGUCCAGAGUGCCAAGCAAAUAUACUGACUCUGGGGUCCUGCUGUGCUGCAUCGUGGCUCAUUGUGAACCAGUGGUCAAUCCAGGAGGCCAUCUCCAUAGAUACUUUGCAUCAUUUCCUUUCCCUCCCCUUCACCACUGGGGACUUACACUUCCCAAAUAAAAUAUCAACAAUUCAAUCCAUAUCCCUGCAUUCUAGACGCUUAGCACACUCCCAUGACCCACAUGCUGGUGAGGAUGUUGAGUUCAUGUGAAGCCUUGGUAAUUUUGGUUGGAAACAUGUUUCUAGAAUCAAGGCAAUGUGGUUUGGUCAAAUUCAGAUGAGAUUGUGGAGCCGCGUGUCCUAGAUUCCAGCUUUGGCUCUAGACCUUAUAAACCAACCCUGUGGCCUUUUAUCUCUCUCAUCAGUCUAAUGGAAAUCAUAUUACCUGCCUUCCUUAUCUGGAAAUGUCAUCAUCAGGAUCAAGAGAGAUAAGGUUUGAGAAAGUAAUGUGUAAGCCAUUAAGUAGUACACAGAUGACCAUUACUGCUGUCAAACAGGAAUUUGAUGCAAUGAACUCUGUUCCCCUUUUCUGUCAAUACAAGUUCAGUGUUAAACAUUUAUACAGUUGUGAAAACUUCAA
RNAcentral lists this long non-coding RNA (1243 nucleotides) under Homo sapiens (human). RNAcentral's name for it is "novel transcript". The record is from RNAcentral. Lineage: Eukaryota; Metazoa; Chordata; Mammalia; Primates; Hominidae.